RNAcentral lists this ribosomal RNA (408 nucleotides) under uncultured bacterium. RNAcentral's name for it is "partial 16S ribosomal RNA". It matches the Rfam family "Bacterial small subunit ribosomal RNA", at positions 28 to 526 of the family's 1533-position model. The record is from RNAcentral.
GACGAACGCUGGCGGCGUGCUUAACACAUGCAAGUCGAACGAAGUGGCGAACGGGUGAGUAACGCGUAAUCAACCUGCCCUUCAGAGGGGGACAACAGUUGGAAACGACUGCUAAUACCGCAUAAUGAAGGAGGGGAAUGCGUCUGAUUAGAUAGUUGGAGGGGUAACGGCCCACCAAGUCUAUGAUCAGUAGCCGGUCUGGUAGGAUGAACGGCCACAGUGGGACUGAGACACGGCCCAGACUCCUACGGGAGGCAGCAGUGGGGAAUCUUCCGCAAUGGACGAAAGUCUGACGGAGCAACGCCGCGUGAGUGAUGACGGCCUUCGGGUUGUAAAGCUCUGUUAAUCGGGACGCGGUACCGGAAUAGAAAGCCACGGCUAACUACGUGCCAGCAGCCGCGGUAAUUC